This 100-nucleotide ribosomal RNA is filed under the name Clostridioides difficile. Its description in RNAcentral is "partial 16S ribosomal RNA". It matches the Rfam family "Bacterial small subunit ribosomal RNA", at positions 1443 to 1533 of the family's 1533-position model. The record is from RNAcentral. Lineage: Bacteria; Bacillati; Bacillota; Clostridia; Peptostreptococcales; Peptostreptococcaceae.
UUGGAAGAAGUCGUCGAAGGGGGAAUCAAUAACUGGGGUGAAGUCGUAACAAGGUAGCCGUAUCGGAAGGUGCGGCUGGAUCACCUCCUUUCUAAGGAGA